This 500-nucleotide ribosomal RNA is filed under the name Campylobacter curvus. Its description in RNAcentral is "bacterial SSU rRNA". It matches the Rfam family "Bacterial small subunit ribosomal RNA", at positions 1 to 522 of the family's 1533-position model. The record is from RNAcentral. Lineage: Bacteria; Pseudomonadati; Campylobacterota; Epsilonproteobacteria; Campylobacterales; Campylobacteraceae.
UGGAGAGUUUGAUCCUGGCUCAGAGUGAACGCUGGCGGCGUGCCUAAUACAUGCAAGUCGAACGGACAAGUAAGAGCUUGCUCUUAUGAGUUAGUGGCGCACGGGUGAGUAAUGUAUAGCUAAUCUGCCCUACACUAGAGGACAACAGUUGGAAACGGCUGCUAAUACUCUAUACACCUCUCUAGCAUAAGUUAGAUAGGGAAAGUUUUUCGGUGUAGGAUGAGGCUAUAUUGUAUCAGCUAGUUGGUGAGGUAAUGGCUCACCAAGGCUAUGACGCAUAACUGGUCUGAGAGGAUGAUCAGUCACACUGGAACUGAGACACGGUCCAGACUCCUACGGGAGGCAGCAGUAGGGAAUAUUGCUCAAUGGGGGAAACCCUGAAGCAGCAACGCCGCGUGGAGGAUGACACUUUUCGGAGCGUAAACUCCUUUUGUUAGGGAAGAAUAAUGACGGUACCUAACGAAUAAGCACCGGCUAACUCCGUGCCAGCAGCCGCGGUA